This 535-nucleotide ribosomal RNA is filed under the name uncultured bacterium. Its description in RNAcentral is "partial 16S ribosomal RNA". It matches the Rfam family "Bacterial small subunit ribosomal RNA", at positions 355 to 874 of the family's 1533-position model. The record is from RNAcentral.
UGGGGAAUAUUGCACAAUGGGCGCAAGCCUGAUGCAGCCAUGCCGCGUGUGUGAAGAAGGCCUUCGGGUUGUAAAGCACUUUCAGCGAGGAGGAAGGUGGUGGACUUAAUACGUUCAUCAAUUGACGUUACUCGCAGAAGAAGCACCGGCUAACUCCGUGCCAGCAGCCGCGGUAAUACGGAGGGUGCAAGCGUUAAUCGGAAUUACUGGGCGUAAAGCGCACGCAGGCGGUUUGUUAAGUCAGAUGUGAAAUCCCCCGGGGCUCAACCUGGGAACUGCAUUUGAAACUGGCAAGCUAGAGUCUCGUAGAGGGGGGUAGAAUUCCAGGUGUAGCGGUGAAAUGCGGUAGAGAUCUGGAGGAAUACCGGUGGCGAAGGCGGCCCCCUGGACGAAGACUGACGCUCAGGUGCGAAAGCGUGGGGAGCAAACAGGAUUAGAUACCCCUGGUAGGUCCACGCUGUAAAACGAUGUCGAUUUUGGAGGUUGUGCCCCUUGAGGCGUGGCUUCCGGAGCUAACGCGUUAAAUCGACCGCCU